GAAACGCAGUUCUACAAAGCUCUACCAGCGCCAGUUAAAAGCAUCGGACUCCACCUGGUAAUUCCAACGAAAAGCUGCAGGCUGCCCGGAAGCUCAGCCCUACAAAGGAUUCUGGGACAUGUAGUCCCGACGCUCCCUGCGUAUGCUCGACUGUGUCACCCCUUCCGCGCGGGAUUCUGGGAAAUGUAAUCCAGGUGUUCCGCGCAAUAAAAGGCGGUUCUGAUGCGGGAGUGUGGACUCGCGGCCUUCUUUCCUCUCCGGCGGUUGUGCCUUCCCAAGACUCUGCCCUUUCCCAGAAGGAGGAGAACAAAAUGACCAAGUUCAAGGUGAGUCAGGCUUGCCUUUUUAGGUUUUAAAUUGCCAUCUCAUUUUUCAAAGACCAGAUAUAUCUUA
This 393-nucleotide long non-coding RNA is filed under the name Dasypus novemcinctus (nine-banded armadillo). RNAcentral's name for it is "lncRNA (ENSDNOG00000052822.1)". The record is from RNAcentral. Lineage: Eukaryota; Metazoa; Chordata; Mammalia; Cingulata; Dasypodidae.